Molecule: long non-coding RNA, 744 nt
Filed under: Androctonus crassicauda
Lineage: Eukaryota; Metazoa; Arthropoda; Arachnida; Scorpiones; Buthidae
Source: RNAcentral
UAUUGCUGAAAUGUAAAUUUUUAAUGGCAUGUUAAUUCCUUAAGUGGAUGUUAGUUAGCAGAACGUUAGGGUCUGUUUUAAUGAAGAUUGGUGAAACCGGCCAUUAGUCUCAGAUCCGCAGGGACUCGGACCAUCGAGUGAUGAACUGAAGAGCAUUCAUCAAGCCAGAGAUGGGUGCAGCAAAACUCUGCCAAUCCUAUAGAAAUUUCUUCACUAGGGACAGCUACUACUGAGGGACAGACGGGCACAAUCCAGGGAAGCCAGGUCCACUGCAGGAUCUCUCUGUAGAAAGUCAAACUAGAUCCAAUGGCAUGCUAUCCAGAUUAAGAGUUGCCACGGCUGUCUACUUGGUGGAGCCACUUCCUUUCAACAGUCAUAGAAACACACUGACGUCCCCACACACCCACUCGCAGUAUGCAGUCGUCCCAACCAGAAAUUCGCCGUGCAACUCUAGUGAUCUCUUAGUCUAUCCCUGUCACUAUGGAUGUAUUGGUCCAGCUGUACAGAUAUGGGCAUAGUGGCAGCCAGUAAGUUCUCUCGCCAUAUCAAGGCAGGCCACUCCUCGAGAGGUACUGUAAAAUCAGCACUGUGACAGACGGUGCUGCUUUACACUAAUAGCUUGCAUCUACACAUGUCACUAUGACACGCAUAUGCUUGUACAAGCAUGUUACUUCUGCAAGUAUGCACAACUUGUGCAUGCUUGUACAAGCAUAAGCUCAGAAGAGCAAAGGACAUUAGUGGCAC